UGUUUUUGUCUCUUCCAUUUUCAAUCAUUUUAAUUCGAUGAAUACGGAUCAAACUCGUCCCAAGUUUGGAAUUUCGUACACUUAAGAGCUAGGCCUGGCUUGUAUAGAAAAAGAAAAGCCUGUAUUUGAAAUACGGGGACAAAGCAAACAACUGACAUUAAAGGAUAAAUUAAAAGUUCUAAAAGAUGUCUCCAAGGCGCCUAUUCACAGGAACAAAUCCAAAUUUGGAGCAAAUGACUUCUGAUAACUUAUACCAUUUAGCGGUAAAUAUACCAGAUACCAAGAGCACAGCUGAGAUUAAAAAACAAUACG
Rhagoletis zephyria (snowberry fruit fly) is the source of this 312-nucleotide long non-coding RNA. RefSeq lists it as uncharacterized. The record is from RefSeq and is a predicted model, not a curated record. Lineage: Eukaryota; Metazoa; Arthropoda; Insecta; Diptera; Tephritidae.